This is a long non-coding RNA of Cannabis sativa, 1706 nucleotides long. RefSeq lists it as uncharacterized. The record is from RefSeq and is a predicted model, not a curated record. The transcript is spliced from 5 exons. Lineage: Eukaryota; Viridiplantae; Streptophyta; Magnoliopsida; Rosales; Cannabaceae.
UUUUUGUUUUAAAGAAUUAGCCGAGCCCAUAUGUGAAGCCCACAUGUAUAUAAGGUCAUUUUCUUAGUAAUAUCAGUAUAGCUUAAGUUUAGGGUUUUCUCACUUGGUAUCCUCGUCUCCUACCUCUCCACACUCCGCAGCCAUGGCAGAGCAGACCGAGAAGGCUUUUCUUAAGCAACCAAAGGUUUUUCUAAGAUUUGGGGGCGGAACGCUUCAUAUCAAGAGGAGACACAAGGGGCACCACUAUUGGAGAACACUGGUGGACCGGCUUCUUCUUUAAAGGAGGGGGAUCAAAAUGAUGUGAAUAUGAAGCGCCUGUCUCCUGACAAUGAUAUUGCUAAGUCAAACCUAAUAGAAGAAAUUGACAAUUGGGGUAGGUUAGUGGAGCCUCAAGAUGCAUCACCAGCCUCAAGAAGCACCAAUCUCAAAACACCAGUCUUUGAGAACACCGGCGACUAAUACAUUAUUUUAGUAUAAGGACACAAAGUUUUAUGUAAGCUAUUAACAUACCUUUUUCCCUGAAGAAAUUCUGAACUUGGGGUAACCUUCUAUCAACUUUUCCACUCUCUUUUUAAGUAUACGAACAUCCUACAUUAUAAUUAGACAAUUAACAAUUUAUGCACAUAAUGUUUUUAUUGUAUUAAAUUUAAUUUAUGUUAUAACAUAUCUAACCUCAUCAUUUAUUACUUGUCGAAAGUGAACAGAGAUGCAGAACUUGUUGUCUUCAACAAUGGCUCCUUUUAUGCCUUUUGUCUUGUCUUUCAGAGCCUUUAGUAUCUAAACAAAAACACAUUACAAAUAUUUAAAAAAAAAUCUCAAGUUAAAGCUAUAAGUGCAGGAAGUGAAGUCAGUAUCUAGCUACCUCUUCAAUCUUUGGAAGAAACUCUUGAGCUGGUCGAAAGUGAACAACUUCAUUCCCCUGUAGAAAAAAGAAAGUCACAAAUAUAGAAAAGAAAAAUCAAAAGAACUUCAAAGAACACUAACUAAUUAGUAACCUUUUCAUCAGUGGUUCUAGCUUAUCACAAAUAUGUUGACAUUUAUUUUAGUGUUGCUUAUCAUAGUUUUUUUUCUCUUUUGAAUUAAUGAGGGGGAUCAAAUUGAUUUGAAUAUGCAACACCAGUCUCCUGACAAUGAUAUUGCCAAAUCGAACCAUAUAGAAGAACUUGACAAUUCAGGCAGGUUAGCGGAGCCUCAAGGAGCACCAGUUUUCGAGAACACCGGUAGUGUGGCCUCUUUUCAGUUAGCAAUGUACAAGGAAGUCCUCAAAAUCUUCCCAUUGUGAGAAGAUCUGCAAUCUGGGAACCCCAUAUGUGAAAAUAAAUAUAAUAUAUAGUUUUUUUUUUUGGAAAUAAUAUAUAAUUUUUUAUGUAUAUUUUUUAAUUUUUUACAAAGUUUAACUUUUAUGCAGAUUGUAUAUUAAUGUAUUGCUAAAUAAAAAUGUUUCUCGUGUAAUGUAUAUAUGAGAAUAUGGGUCCGAGUUUGGGGGCGGAACGCUUCAUAUCAAGAGGAGACACAAGGGGCACCACUAUUGGAGAACACUGGUGGACCGGCUUCUUCUUUAAGAACAAAAUUAUGUUAUGUGCUCUAAUUUAACCAAAUUUACGGUUUGGGAAUUACCCCACUAACUAUGUAAAAUUUGAAAUUAUAAUAUCUAAAUUAUACUAUCAAUAAAAGUCAAACUCACCUUAAAAGGAAACCUUUCUUUC